CAAAGCCUGUUUGGUGGUCUCUUCACACGGACGCGAGUGAAAGUCCCCACAAGACCUGUGGAACAAACCUUCUGCAGUGUGGUGCUGCUGAACAGCCACUCUGGUUUGGUGUUGUCUUUGGCUGAUUUACAAAGCAGUUCCUAGGGCAGGGGAUGGUAGUCUUCCCUCCCUGCCGCGUCUGACUGUUCUCCGGGAUAUUUCUCCUUUCAGGCACCCACAGUGCUUCCUGUGGCUUUAAGUUUAUUCAAUGCAAAAGAAUCCUCUUCAAUUUUACUGAGGUGGCUGACCACGUCCACGACCAAAUCCGUCUCUAAACUGGAAUUCGGUUGCUGACCCAGCCCCAGCCUCGGCCUUCUUGUCGGCACCAGGUGGCACAGCACUCCGUUUGUAGGUAUGUCUGUCGGCUUCCCCUCUUGUGAGUCUGGCAGGUUGCUCACCCUCCAGACCUUUAGGGCAAGGCCUGUCAGCCUCUGGAUGGCUACAGCGUAGGGUGGCAGGCACAAUCUCCAGGGGCAGAUGAAGGUAAUCACGGAGAUACUGGACACCCUCAUUGGUAAGGUUCCAGUAGAAAUGUCUCCAGGCAAACUGUUCCUUCACGUAGCUUCGGGAAUUGAGCGACUGCAUGGCCUUCAUGACAUGAAGAUUGGGCACAUUCUUGUCUGCCAGCUCUGGGUGCUUAGGCAUGUGGACAUCCUUCUUGGCCACCAUGACUCCUCCCUUAAAAAGGAGUUCAUAAAUGGCAAUCCGGUUCUUCUUAGGCAUCAACAUCUGGCAGGUCUCCGCCAUGCACUGGCUUCAUCCUCCCCCUCUCCCUCAGACAAGCUUCACCUACCAGCGGCCCCCUACCCCAUAAAAUUAGCCUCCAACCCCUGUCGCUACUCAGAAAUAGGUGUGUGGGGAGUGGGAGAGAGCUCCCCUGCCAGUAUCCUGGGGAGCAGCAGCCGCUAAGGCGGCAGGAUGGCCCGGAUGGGAGCCGAUGGAACUCGAACUCCCGUUAAGGCGUACUCUUAUUAUUGUUGCUAUUGUAGGUGAGGAAAAACAGUCUUCUACCCUCUUAGAUCUGUGGCUGGCCUAAGAACGAAACUGACAUAAGACAGAUUAACAGGAGAAAAGCAUACGGGCUUCAUAUGUUCACAUUUACACAGGAGUCUUUAAAAAGAAAAUAACAGCCCAAAGAAGCUGUUAGGCCCAAAAGCUUAUAUACCUUUUCACACAAAGAAUGACAAAUUGUGGGGAUAUGACAAGGCAAGGGGCUUGAACAUGGGGCAGUAAAUUGUGGGACAGGGACUAGGAAAUGUAUGGGAGCAACUAAUGCAAGAUACGGAUUAUUUUAGUAAGUUUGUUUGUGCAUGUCCAUUCCUGUGUUGAUUCUAAGUCUCUGACAAAUUUGAUCACCUGCUUUUAGGUGGAAAGGAGGGCAGAGAUCCUUUUCUGCAUCUGCUGUUUCUCAAUUUCCUUUAGCUCAAAAUAAUCAAUAUGCCAAAGCAGCAUAUUUUGGGGUGGCAUAUUCUGAAUUCCUUCAUUAUUAUGAGAGGUUGAUGUUUAAGUGCUCAAGAAUCAGGAAAACCUGAGACAUUCAAGAGGAGUGCCCUGGAUCCUGCAGCCCUCUUCCUAUUGAUUUCCGGUUCCUGUCCCACACAACCUCUCCUUCAGCAGGAGGCCCUGGUGAAGUUUGGAUGCAGAGGCUGCUUCUCAUCAGCGUGACAGGAGGUGCAUCACCACCCACAGUUAAGGGUUAACCAAGCUAAACAGUAUAAGAUAACCUUCAUUUGCAAAUCUAAUGAGCAAAAUUACAGGCUUUAACUCUAAUAGAGGGGGGAAAUGAAGCUCAAGAUCAUUAUUUCCACGUCUAAGAUUAGCAGCUGGAAAAUACAGUACAUCUGUAAAAUGACAGUGUCAGAUACCACAGCUUUGCAUGACACCAGCACACACACAAAGGAAGAAUCACUUCAGAGAGCAGAAGUAGAGGCAGAGUACUCUGAGCGGUCACGACACAUGGAUGCAUCUGAGCUUCCGCCACAUACCAAACCAGGUUACCAUGACAUUAUGUGUUGAAACUACUGAUAAAGGUCUUUGGAAAAACGUCUACUAACCCCUGAAAAAACAUAAGCUGUCUUUCCGUUCUUUUUCUCUUUCACAGGGCAGGAGGAUGUGUUCUGUGCCUGAAGAAAUACUCCCUUAUAUAAAUCAAGUUGGGAGGAUGAAGAUGGAAGGAACAAAUGUGGGAAUAAAAAGUUGGGAAGGAAUUCACUUCAUGGUUUGACUCUGAGACAAAAUUGAUAAGAGCCCUUCCCCCAAAAGACCCCCUUCUUGCCUGGGAACCAGUCUGCCUUUGCAGGACUAACAAAUUAGCUACAAAAUUAGAAAUUAUGGUUUAGGGGUCAUGAAGCCUCUGACUCCAAGAGUCUGAACCUACCCAAAUUUCUCCUUGGGAUAGUAUCACUAUUGUAGAACCUAAGCUCAGUGCUUGAGAUAUUUUGCAGACCUUGCACUUGCUGGAUCAGGGGACACCACCCAGACUGGUAAUCUGGCUCAAAUAGUUCUGCCAUCCCACCCAGGAACAAAAGACAGAAAGAAAAACUCACUUCGACUCCUAUGAUUCCAUCUUCAAUCUGACCAAACAGCAUUCUGCACUUCCCAAGCCCCUACCCACCAAAUUAUGUUUUAAAACCCUGAUCUUCGAAGGUUCUGGGAGACUGGUUUGAAUAAUACUAAAACUCCUGGCCAGGCACGGUGGCUCAUGCUUGUAAUCCCAGCACUUUGGGAGGCCAAGGAAGGCGGAUCAUCUGAGUUCAGAAGUUCGACACCAGCUGGACCAACAUGGAAAAAUCCUAUCUCUACUAAAAAUACAAAAUUAGCUGGGCGUGGUGGCAAAUACCUGUAAUCCCAGCUACUUGCCAGGCUGAGGCAGGAGAAUCACUUGAACGCAGGAGGUAGAGGUUGUGGUGAACUGAGUUCACACCAUUGCACUCUAGCCUGGGCAACAAGAGUGAAACUCCAUCUCAAAAAAAAAAAAAAAAAAAA
Macaca mulatta (Rhesus monkey) is the source of this 3024-nucleotide long non-coding RNA. The record is from Ensembl. Lineage: Eukaryota; Metazoa; Chordata; Mammalia; Primates; Cercopithecidae.